AGAGUUUGAUCAUGGCUCAGGAUGAACGCUGGCGGCGUGCCUAAUACAUGCAAGUCGAGCGAACGUCAUAGAAGCUUGCUUCUAUGACGUUAGCGGCGGACGGGUGAGUAACACGUGGGCAACCUGCCUGUAAGACUGGGAUAACUUCGGGAAACCGAAGCUAAUACCGGAUAGGAUCUUCUCCUUCAUGGGAGAUGAUUGAAAGAUGGUUUCGGCUAUCACUUACAGAUGGGCCCGCGGUGCAUUAGCUAGUUGGUGAGGUAACGGCUCACCAAGGCAACGAUGCAUAGCCGACCUGAGAGGGUGAUCGGCCACACUGGGACUGAGACACGGCCCAGACUCCUACGGGAGGCAGCAGUAGGGAAUCUUCCGCAAUGGACGAAAGUCUGACGGAGCAACGCCGCGUGAGUGACGAAGGCCUUCGGGUCGUAAAGCUCUGUUGUUAGGGAAGAACAAGUACCGUUCGAAUAGGGCGGUACCUUGACGGUACCUAACCAGAAAGCCACGGCUAACUACGUGCCAGCAGCCGCGCUAAUACGUAGGUGGCAAGCGUUGUCCGGAAUUAUUGGGCGUAAAGCGCGCGCAGGCGGUUUCUUAAGUCUGAUGUGAAAGCCCCCGGCUCAACCGGGGAGGGUCAUUGGGAAA
Molecule: ribosomal RNA, 645 nt
Filed under: uncultured marine bacterium
Lineage: Bacteria
Description: bacterial SSU rRNA
Rfam family: Bacterial small subunit ribosomal RNA
Source: RNAcentral